Molecule: long non-coding RNA, 5702 nt
Organism: Homo sapiens (human)
Lineage: Eukaryota; Metazoa; Chordata; Mammalia; Primates; Hominidae
Exons: 4
Source: RefSeq, a predicted model, not a curated record
AGUUGUGCAUUCUAGAGCUCUUUAGAGCUACUUCAGAGUUGCAGGAUAAAGAUUUCUAGGGAAGAGGGCAGGGCCAGGCGCCCGGAGGAUUUCCAGCCACGGGUAGUUUACCGAGAGAAAAAGCUGCGGGCGUCGCUCCCUCUUUUACAUAAGAAAGGCUAAGCUCUAAAAGGCAGACAACUUCUUCCUGGCCCUUCGGAGAAGCUAGCCCUUGGAACCUAGGCCCUGAGUCGUGAGGAAGAGGAAAGACUACAUGGGGUCACUAUGUAAGGUGUUCCUGGUGACAGCUCCUGCUGAGGACCCAGCUGACAGCAAGCACCAACCUCCAGACAACAAGAGCUUUCUUCUGGCACAUCUGGUUUAUGUGAAUACAUUAGUGAGUUUCCCAGGAAGCCGCAGCAUCACACAAAGGCCCAUGAUCAUUUCACCAGGUUGACCUGAACAUCAUUGGCUAAACAUAGGAAAUCAAGAAAUUGUUAAAACUUCGCCAAAGUUUUCUACCUCUAAUAGUUAAGAGAUGAUGAAGGGAAGACUCUGUUCUUCAGAAGAAUUCAAUAAUGUCUUCUUUCACAGGCUUUAAAAGAUUAUCUCUUCAAAGAUUCUUCUAACUUUUUGUUUGUUUAUAGACCAUGUGUUCUCAAUAGGAACAAUAUUGUCCACCAAAGGGUGAAAAUUGGUUCUUGGGGGGUUUAACAUUUUCUUACUAUUUUAAUGUAUAAAGCACAGAUAUACCUAUAUACAGUUCACAAACAACAUAAUGGUGUCUCUGUGGCAUUAAAUCUCAUGGAGGAGAGGACGAUCAGAAAAAAUGUCUAAAAAGGCUUCUUUAGGGAUGUGAUACUGAACAAAAGUUUAGAAACUGAAUUAGAGGACAGGAAAGGCACAUAAAGAGUUUAAAGGGACUAAUCAAACAGGACGUUUUCAACUGAUUACAUGAAUUUGGUCUGAGACUGAUUCCUCAGAAUGCCCCCCACUCUCAAGAUACCAUUUCACCUGAAGUCAUUAGCUUUGGAAUAGAAAGGAACAAAUCUACGCUUUGUUAAGAAAUAUUUGUAAAUUGGAAAUUUUCAUUCUUUAUCUCACUUUGUUUUAAAGCAACAUCAGAGAAAAAAAUUGUUAUAUCCAUUUUUUAUAGCUGAGGGAAGUAACGCUCAAUGAGGUUAACACUUUCAAAUUCUACAAAGAAUACACAGUUUCUGAGUGUAAUUAGUGAAUGUAAGAACCUGAGUUUGUUUGAUUUCAAAGCCCAUGAUUUCCUCCCACUCAUGUGCUAGCCAGGGAUUGCUGGUGGGUGAGAUGGUGUUCCAUUCUACUAUCCUGAGUUCACUGAAAAUUGACUCAAAUGCCUGAGUCAGGAAUUGAUGUGUUCUCACAGCUCGAAUUCUGGGAAGACUAGUGGUGGGGGUGGGGCUGUCACUAAGAUGUCCAGGAGUUCUGCACGGGGUGGUGGGGGCACAUUCUCCCGGGAAGUUUCAACUGGACUGGAGUUUACAGGAAUCCAAGAGCUUUGGCUAGAACAGAACCAAUCUCAGGAUUGCAGAGAACCCUGUUAGUAGCAACCUUACAUUCCAUUCCAUAUUUGUCAGUGAGGGAGAGGCACUCUGAUCCCCAUCAGAAAUUUGAAGAACCACAUAAGUUUUGGCUAGCUGCCUGUUCCCUCUGCUUCACAGCUUAACGAUGAAACUUUUGUUUGCUGUGUUCUUCCAUCCUCUGCUCCCAAGUAGCAGAUGCCAACCAAGGAAUGACUGCUGAUUUCAAAAUUAGAGAGAUGGCCAUAUAGACUAUGAACAUAUAGAUCAUUUCUGCUUUUUCUUUUGUUUCUAGAGAUUAGUAUAAAACUUUUUGUACAACAUCCCCUAUACUCAUUAAAUCUGUGACAUCCUUGUUGCUACCUGAUAUCAUAUAUCUGCUUUAUUUUAUAUUUCUGCUUUUCCUUUUCCAGUGACAGGUUGCCAUUUUAAAGAUGAUUAAUUAUCUAUCAUUUGGGAGCAGGACCAUAACCUUUAACUUUUCCUGACAGGACAAAAAACAUGUGUUCACACCACCCACCCUUAUUGAUUCUCAUGGUAAGGAAGAAGAGAGGAUCAUAAACUAGAAGUGAAAAAAUGGAAGUUUUAGUGCUUUUUCUUUAAAAGAGAGAGAAUGCAUGAUGCUUGCCUCACUCUGCUGUAACGAAUGUAAGUUAAAACUAAAAUACAGUUUAGAAAACUUUCACAUAUUACUCACAAGAACAAGCUAUGAGUGUUGUUAUUUUACUAUUUGCUAAAUGUAUAGUACUAAUGUCUCUUCUAAGGGACAAAUAUCAAGCAUUUCACAAGAGGUUACACGUCAUCUUGCUCUAUGCUAGCAUGGAAAUAAAUGAGAGUUGGGAAAACAGGAAAUAAAUAUUCUAAGUUAUCAGGGAAUGCUGCCAAGGCAUCAUAGGAGUGUCAUUAGUUAUUUUGGUUUCUCAACCAAGACCUGAGAUACAAGGCUAGUGGGUGGUGUCUAGGACAACACAGAGAAAAUGAGGAAGCUCUUGGAAAGUGCUCUCCCCUUGCUCUGUCUCCCCUUUAUUCUUCACUCUGUAGGCCAGAUCCUCUGGAGGCAGAAUGCAGCCACCACUGUGUUUACACUUUGGUACAAGAGAGGUUUCUUGUAUGUAAGCACAGUGCUCCAUGGAGCCAUAGAGAUAGCUGGUGGCACUCUGCAGUUUUCUGUGCAGUAGCUUGAUAGACUGGAGAAAGCCUGAACUAGGAGCCAAAGUUUUGAUGUUAGAUGCAUAAUCAUCACAAGUAACACAAAUCAAUUUUUAGCAAGUUACUUAAAUCUUUCUAUCCUGGUUAAUUUAUUGUUUUACAUUCUAAAAAUUGAGAUAGAAUUCAUAUACUAUAAUAUCCACCCUUUAUAAAGUCUAGAAUUUGAUGAUAUUUGUGAUUACAUUCACAAAGUUGUGCAACCAUCACUGCUAUCUUAUUCCAGAACAUUGUCAUCAUUCCAAAACAAAACAAAACAAAACAAAACACCCAUAUCCAUGAGCAGUCACUCCUUACUCUUCCCUCCUCCCAGUCCCCAGCAACCACUAAUGUAUGUUCUGUCUCUAUAGACUUGACUAUUCCACACAUUUCAUAUAAAUGUAAUUAUAUGUUAUGUGAUCUCUUGUGUCUGUCUCCUUUCACUUAGCAUAAUAUUUUCAAGGUUCAUUCAUGGUGUUACAUGUAUCAAAAUUUUAUUUCUUUUUAUGGGCAAUAAUACUCAAUUGUAGCUUAUUGUUUAGUCACUCAUUCAUCUGGUCAUCCAUCCUUCACCUACUCUUCACUGAAUACUUAUUAUGAACCAGCCUUGUCCUAGGCUCUUGGGACACAUUUAUUCAUAUUUGUGACAUGAAUGAAUAAAGGCACAAAUUUAUUAACUAUUAUAUAAAGAUAAAUAUGAGAUCUUCAUAUCACCUCAGUUAAAAAUAUUGGGUGAACAGAUUGUUUAUGAGCUUUUAAAAUUUUGAGGUCUUUGUAUCCAAAGGAGACCUGAGUUCUUGUUUAGUUUCUGUGUCUACUUACCCCUUGAAACUUAGAUUAGAGGAGGGAGGGAGGCCUGCUUCAUGAACCCCAGGACUGUGGGUUAUUUCAAUGUGGCCCUGUGCUCAGAGGGGCCUAUGCUUGUUUUAACACUCUGUUGUGACUGUCUUGAAAUUCUUAAUAACUUUUGAACAAGGGGCCUUGUAUUUCAUUUUCCACUGGGCCCUGUAAUUUAUGUGGCCAGUUCUGAAGGGAGCAAAUAUUUAUUAAGUGUCUACUCUGUAUUGGCCAUUGAAUUUGACCCCACAGCUCAUGUUGUUUAACAAGUCACAUUUCUCUAUUUUAAAAAUGAGAAUGUUACAUUUAAUAUUAUUUAAGGUCUCUUCUAUGUCUAAAUUUCACUAAUUCUAAGUCUUGCAAAAUGAUCUAUGAAGGCAAUGUAUUAUACUUGUACCAGCUGAUUCAUCUUUUCAAGAUUUAUCUUAAUUGGCAUAACUUCUUAGAAAUCUUCCUUGAUUCUUUCCCCAGCCAAAUUUAGUAAGCUUUCUUUUGUGUUCUCACACUCCCUCAGUGUUAUUAACAGAGCUUUUUAUAAAACUGGAUUUUAUGAAGUAAAAAUAGUUUCUGUCUCUCUCAUUGCAUUGUAUGUCCCCUUUAAAUCAGGUACUGCAUCUUAGUUAACGUGUAACUUGCAAAAUGCUUCUUAAAACAAGCAGGAUUAAAGAGUCCAAUAGUAAAAAUGAAAGUUCAGAAAUGCCAGUUCAUGACAUUAUUAGAGAUGGGAAAAUCUGAGGCAAACACAUAGUCCACAACAAAGUCACUGGAAUAUAGAAACUAAAGAUAUACAGUGAGAAAAGAAAUUAGGACAUUUGCCCAAGUAAACUUAACUUAAAAGAACUAUAGUUUUAAAAUGAUAUAUGCAUAAUAGUAUAGGAAUUUAAUAAACAAAAAGUAAUACAAAAGUAAUACCUCUCCAUAAUUUUAAAAUAAUCAAAAGGCACAGAGGGUAUAAAAUAAAAAUUUCUUUUCAUGUAAUUUCCCAGUCUCAUUUUCCAAAGAUAUGCUCAAUAAGAGUUUCUUGGCCAGGCAUGUUGGCUCACGUCUGUAAUCCCAGCACUUUGGGAAGCCGAGGCAGGCAGAAACUUGAGCCCACGAAUUUAACACUAGCCGGGGAAACAUGGCAAAACCCCAUCUCUACAGAAAAUUGCAAAAACUAGGUGGGCAUGGUGGUGCAUGCCUGUAGUCCUAGCUACUCAGAAGGUUGAAGUGGGAGGAUUACCUGAGCCCAGGGAGGUUGAGUCUGCAGUGAGCCGUGAUUGUGCCACCACACUCAAGCCUGGGUAACAGAGUAAGACUCUGUCUCAAAAAAAAAGUUUCUCGAGUAUCCUCCUAGAAAUGCUUUAUGAGGAGUACAUUUAUACACUCUUGUUAUUGCACAAAUAGGAUUCUAUUUAUAUUUCUAUAUAGUUAUUUUCCUUGCCUUUUACUUAGUAAUAUUUUUUAGACCUCCUCCCAUAUUGGUAUCUAUAGAUCUCCCUAAUUCAUUUUCAGGAGUGCAUAGUACUCUAUGACAUGUGUUGAACACAGUUAAAUAAAGCAGUCCUUUCUGAUGAAUACAUAACAUUGUUUUCAGUUUCUGUAAAUUAUGGAAAACCACAAUAGAUAUCUUCACAUAGGAAGAUAUUCACAGUAUAAAUUUCCAGCAGUGAAAUUGCUGGAAGUCUUUAUAAUUUGAUUUUAAGAAAAACUUAAUUCAGUACCCAACCUGAUGUCUUUGAGACAAUUUCACAUUUACUUGUUUGUUCUUCUCCCUCACCUUCCUUUAGAAUUUCUUUUUUCUGAUUGGGAUGACAUAUUUCUAAAGUAUUUCUAGCUUUCAAAAAAAUAAUUUAUAGAAAAUCAGUCUAUAUUUUUAAAGACCAAUUGAAGCUGUCUACCUCACCAAUGUGAAGAACUGAAGUAGAAUUUAAUUUUCUUUUCUAAUACUUUUUUCUAGUAUUAAAUUCAAAGACUACUAUUCCUCUUUUAUUUACAGCAGUCUGUGUUCAAAUUGUGCUGACACCAUGAUAGAUUUCAGAGUGAUUUUUUUGGCUAUGUGGGCCUCUCCCAUUAUAAUAAGAGUACCAGCUUCUUAAUGCUUGUGAUAUGAUUUGGCUGUGUCCCCACCCAAAUCUCAUCUUGAAUUUUAGUUCCCAUAAUCCCUAGGUG